CGGUAGACUUUCAUGCAUGCUUUUCAAAAAAGAAAAGGGGAGUUUGAAUCCUUAUAAGCAAAAAUAUAGCCUUUUCGUUGGUGGUAAAACAUGCGGAUAAGAAUGGAAGGUACUUAAUAACACAAUGCUAUUUCAAUAAUGCGCAGUACACGCUAGUUAAGAUAUAUACGCACCACAUACUGACCAACUAGCAUUCUUAGAAAAUGUGUUUUAAAAAAUUGAUAAAUGGAGGCUGAGGGAGGUGAUUAUUGGAGGAGAUUCUAACUUUAUAUUAGACGACUAGAUGGAUGUUACAUACUCUGGGGGAUGUGGCUCAUUCCACGAUGCUC
Molecule: non-coding RNA, 329 nt
Organism: Pelobates cultripes (western spadefoot toad)
Lineage: Eukaryota; Metazoa; Chordata; Amphibia; Anura; Pelobatidae
Source: the annotation of a GenBank genome assembly